ACAUGCGCACACCCUCAUCGGCACGCAUUCCGGUACCCGUCACCUUGGAGCUGGCCAAACUUGGGGAUCCAAAAGCGGUCCUGCUUCCUAGCGCCGUUGGGCUCUGCAGCGUCGUCCCCCACGAACCUCCCUGCCCCCUGCUCCUGAUUCCCUUUCAGGAAUUUACAAACAUUUUUCCCUAGAUCAAUAUCCGUAUUGAUUAUUCAUUGUGAGCGAGUCGUGUGUCUUUGGUGAUCCUGCUUGCAGAGGGUAGCAGCUAAAGGCUGCUGCAGGGGAGAAAAAAUAACAGAAGGUGAGCGGGACCCAGCUCUGGCUGUGGUCUGCGGCUGUCACAUCACACACAGGAAGAAGAGGAGACCUCUCCAGAAGGAAAGGAUGGAGAAGGGUGGAAGAGAAAGAGGGAGCAACAGCAAGAAAUGAUGUGAGGACUGGACAUCUGGUCUUAGGGAUCUCAGUGGCUUGCAGAAAAGCCCCAUCAUCUUGGGUCUGCUGCUAGGUGCAAAACGCUGUGGGUUCCUCUGUUCUGGGAGUGAAAAGUGACUCACGGUUUUGGUGUCUUCCUACGUAAGAGCUUUUGGUGGGGGGAUUCCUUGGCUUGCUGACAGACAAGGAAGGACGCAGCAGCAGUGAGGUAAAAAAAAAAAAAAAAAAUUAAAACAAACCAGGAUUCCCUUCCAACCGCCUCGCUGAGGAUGUGCACCCGUUCGGUUUGAUUUGAACAGCUUGCUGCUCUAAAUUACAUGCGGAAGGAGGAUAAUUAAAAAGGCCAGCAUCACUUACUAAGGGAUUACCGGAAAAGACGGUGAGAUGAUGACAGGAAGACAUCUUGGAUCAGAGCCAAAAAAAAAAAAAAAAAAAAAAAUAAUCAAGGCAAAUCAAGUCUGCAGUUCGGAGAAAACACCUAUGGCUUGGGAAGCUCCGAUGGGAACAUGGGAACUGCUGGAGUUCCUCAGGCGAGUCUGGGAAUAUUGUUGUGGGCACAAGAGGACAAGAUUCAGAGUCAUGGCAUGCCAGCUUACACAGCUAUGCCACACACUGAGAGGGGGGAAAAAAGCCCCAAACCAAACCCAUACCAGUCCCAAACAGCGAAAGCCAACAUAUCCUUUCUUUGGCAUGGGAGCCUGUCUUGCUGGUUCAAAAUCGGUUCGUCUAUUUAAAGCAACUCCAAUCUGUGCUUUCUGCUGGUAGCUGCUCCUUCCUUGUUUGUCUCCAGAAACUGCUUCACCAUCAUGGAGUGACAGUGGGAAGAGGAGGUUGGGGAGACUCGGUUUUCCAUUGGCUGGGCUUCUGGCAAAUGUGCCCUUUGGACCGACAUGUGGGAGCUGGUUUGGGGAUUCCUCUUCUGUUGUCACCCAGCUGUGGCUUGAUGCAAAACUGCUGUGCUGUGCUGAGCUAUGAAGACUGGGGGAUGGUCGUACUCCACUGACAGCUGGGAGAAGCCUCCCACUGCCAUGCCCAGCACCAAGGACUCAAAGAUGACCCCAGUAACAUCCCUGAGCCCU
Molecule: long non-coding RNA, 1502 nt
Organism: Acomys russatus (golden spiny mouse)
Lineage: Eukaryota; Metazoa; Chordata; Mammalia; Rodentia; Muridae
Exons: 3
Source: RefSeq, a predicted model, not a curated record